AUUGAACGCUGGCGGAAUGCUUUACACAUGCAAGUCGAACGGCAGCAUAGGUGCUUGCACCUGAUGGCGAGUGGCGAACGGGUGAGUAAUACAUCGGAACGUGCCCAGUCGUGGGGGAUAACGUAGCGAAAGUUACGCUAAUACCGCAUACGAUCUAAGGAUGAAAGCGGGGGACCGUAAGGCCUCGCGCGAUUGGAGCGGCCGAUGUCAGAUUAGGUAGUUGGUGAGGUAAAGGCUCACCAAGCCGACGAUCUGUAGCUGGUCUGAGAGGACGACCAGCCACACUGGGACUGAGACACGGCCCAGACUCCUACGGGAGGCAGCAGUGGGGAAUUUUGGACAAUGGACGCAAGUCUGAUCCAGCCAUUCCGCGUGCAGGACGAAGGCCUUCGGGUUGUAAACUGCUUUUGUACGGAACAAAAAAGCUCUUACUAAUACUAGGAGUCCAUGACGGUACCGUAAGAAUAAGCACCGGCUAACUACGUGCCAGCCGCCGUAAGAC
Molecule: ribosomal RNA, 502 nt
Filed under: uncultured bacterium
Lineage: Bacteria
Description: partial 16S ribosomal RNA
Rfam family: Bacterial small subunit ribosomal RNA
Source: RNAcentral